This 2065-nucleotide long non-coding RNA is filed under the name Pan troglodytes (chimpanzee). RNAcentral's name for it is "lncRNA (ENSPTRG00000053733.1)". Lineage: Eukaryota; Metazoa; Chordata; Mammalia; Primates; Hominidae. The record is from RNAcentral.
CUUUUGGCUACUCCCUGAUCACAUUCAGGGUGCAAAAAUGCUAGGAGUGAACAGUUAACCAAUCCCCAUCCUGCACCAGCCCAUAUGACAGAAACUAUUUGGAAUUCUUUUACAGGAUGCGCUAGCUAAUGCAGAUAAGCUCUGUGGCAUCAAUUCACCCUCCAGAAGAAACCCAAAUAGCAACACAGGAUGAAGGUCAAGGAUUAACUGAUGCUAAUGGAAAUGUUCCCAGUGACCGUCCAGAUAAAAUAUUGUAUCCCAGCUGAUGAGGCCGGCACAUGAUGACAACACUACAAGCACCAAGAAAAUUGAUGCAAUGGCCUGUCUUAAGUUGGCUUCCUCUAUUGGUCUUUUAUCUGACAAGACACCUUUGGCAAAGUCUCAUCAAUAUGCUACUUUUCAUCUGCCUGACACUGAAAUCAAUGGACUGCAGAAGAAGCCUCUCGAUCAGCAUUGUCAGAAAUGAUCACCAUGCUGGACGGAGCAUGCUACCUGAUUUCUCCUGACUGAACUCCCACAAAAGCAUGGCUGCAAAUCCCAGAGAAAGAAGAAAGAGAACUUACAUAAAGGAGGCUUUCUGGAGAACUCGCUGUAAGAGGGUCAAUGCGGAAAUAUGGAAUGUGCUUAGGAGUCCACUGAAGCAGCCCAGGUAAGAGACAACUGACUUACAGUGGUUGGGGAGUGAGAAGUAGUCAGAUUCAGGAUAUACUGAUAGCCUCACACAUCAAUAUCCUUAGACAGGGAAAAAGAGAAUAUCCCUCCAGUGUCCCUUUUAAACAGCAAUCAUAUCACCCACCUGCUCAGAACUCUCCAAACACUUCCCACAUUAUGAGAAAAUUCAAGAUUCUAAUCAUGGCUAGACGGUCCUUCUGAUCCAAUGUACCACCUCUGAGAUCUCAUUUCUUGCCAAUUUCCUUGGUCACUCCUUUCCAGCCAUGUUUACUUCCUUGCUGUUUCCCAAACACAUCAAACAUGUCCCUACCCUUGGGGCUUUGAACUUGUCUGGAAGCUCUCUUCUCCAGAAGUUCCCACAGUGUACUCCCCUCCUUCAUUUAGGUCUUACCUUGUAGGCCAAAGAAGAAUUCUCUGAUAACUAUUUAUAAAGUAACAGCUCCAGCCAGGCUCGAUGGCUCACACCUCGAAUCCCAGCACAUUGGGAGGCCAAGGCAGGAGGAUCACUGGAACCCAGAAGCUCAAGACCAGUCUGGGCAACAUGGAGAAACUUCGUCUCUACAAAAAAAUACAAAAGUUAGCCAGGCAUGGUGGCAUGCUCCUGUGGUCCCAGCCAAUUGGGAGGCUAGGGUGGGAGGAUCACUUGGGCCCAGGAGUUCAAGGCUGCAGUGAGCUGUGAUCACACCACUGCACUCCAGCCUGGGUGAUAGAGUGAGACUCUGCCUCCAAAAAAAGAAAAAGAAAAAAAAAAAAAAAAAGGAACACCUCCUUCAACACUAUUUUACCUUGCACAGCAAUAUUGUUCUUCACAGCAGUUUUCACUACUUGAAAUAUAUGUAUCACCCCCUCCCCUUUUGUGAGCCUCUGUUUUCUUUAAAGUGUAACUUGAUGAAGGCAGAUAAUUUGUUUCUUGUCUAAUAACAGAGCAGGAGAUCUAUCUGGAAACUUAUAGCCAGCUUAUUCCACUGGGUCCACUCAGUCCCACUGUAUUUUCAGUACCUACAACCUUAGCACAUAAUACUCACUCAGUGAACAAUUGUGAAAUAAAUGAAUAAAAGUAAUGCCUAGAGCUGCUACAGCCAUCCCGUGACCAUAAAGAAAUUUCUUGACAAGUGGUGGAAGGUGCAGCACAAAGACUAAAAGAACCUGGAUCCACGGGGAAGCCCCUAAGCUGUGGAAUCCAUCAUUUCAGUAAGAGCCCUAGCUUUUAGUUGUCAUAUGAGACAAUAAGUUCAGCCACUUUAAUUUGGAAUUGCUGCUUACUCCACAACUAGGACUGCCCUAACUGCUGCGUAAUUUUAAUCUUCUAGAAAAAUAUCACAUUUCAAUUUCUAGAAUAUGUCAUCCAAGAGCAUUUUCCUUUCCCAUUUCUCAUACAAUCUGCAUAAAUUCA